Molecule: long non-coding RNA, 208 nt
Filed under: Lathyrus oleraceus (garden pea)
Lineage: Eukaryota; Viridiplantae; Streptophyta; Magnoliopsida; Fabales; Fabaceae
Description: Pisum sativum (pea) long non-coding RNA (PSAT_LNC028416)
Source: RNAcentral
UUUUUCAUGCCUUUAGCAUUUAAUUUCUUGCUUUAUUCCUGUUAAUAUUAUCUUAUCUAUAACUUGGCUAUGUGCUACUAAAAAUGGAUGAUAAUGAUUGCAAGAAAACCAUGUGGGAAAGACUCUCCACCAGAGUCUUAGAGUAAGCUUGAGAUAGGAUAGGUUGAGUAGUAUGGGCCACCGAGAAUCUCUUCUCGUAAGGGUCGAC